CAUGUAGGCGGCUCGUCAAGUCUGAUGUGAAAGCCCCGGGCUCAACCCGGGAAGUGCAUUGGAAACUGGCGAACUUGAGUACGGGAGAGGAAAGUGGAAUUUCGAGUGUAGGGGUGAAAUCCGUAGAUAUUCGAAGGAACACCAUUGGCGAAGGCGGCUUUCUGGACCGAUACUGACGCUGAGAUGCGAAAGCGUGGGGAGCAAACAGGAUUAGAUACCCUGGUAGUCC
RNAcentral lists this ribosomal RNA (229 nucleotides) under uncultured bacterium. RNAcentral describes it as "partial 16S ribosomal RNA". It matches the Rfam family "Bacterial small subunit ribosomal RNA", at positions 568 to 796 of the family's 1533-position model. The record is from RNAcentral.